CUGUUAGUUAGGGUUUAAUUAUUGCCAGAGUUUGCUUUAUAUGAUUUUUAAUUAAAAUUAUGAUUGUGAAUGCGGUCGAUAAUAUUAUUAUCAUGUUCUUACUGAUAGUAAUUGAUGCUCGGAGAUCUUUUAUUUUGUUUUUUCCUUAUUGUUAUUAGUGUUUAGGGUUUCGUUUCGUUCUUAUAGCGUAGUACUUUCACUCUCUGAGUCUUAUUAUUAAAUAUUAUUACUAUUACUAUCAUUCUUAUUGUUAAAUUAAUUUAUGUUGCUAUGAAUCAUUACGGAUCGAUUAUUCUGC
RNAcentral lists this long non-coding RNA (298 nucleotides) under Trifolium pratense (red clover). RNAcentral describes it as "long non-coding RNA (TPRA_LNC011947)". The record is from RNAcentral. Lineage: Eukaryota; Viridiplantae; Streptophyta; Magnoliopsida; Fabales; Fabaceae.